RNAcentral lists this ribosomal RNA (741 nucleotides) under uncultured bacterium. RNAcentral describes it as "bacterial SSU rRNA". It matches the Rfam family "Bacterial small subunit ribosomal RNA", at positions 33 to 773 of the family's 1533-position model. The record is from RNAcentral.
ACGCUAGCGGGAGGCCUAACACAUGCAGCCGAGCGGUAGAAGAUCUUCGGAUCUUUGAGAGCGGCGUACGGGUGCGGAACACGUGUGCAACCUGCCUUUAUCAGGGAGAUAGCCUUUCGAAAGGAAGAUUAAUAUCCCAUAAUAUUUUGAAUGGCAUCAUUUAAAAUUGAAAGCUCCGGCGGAUAGAGAUGGGCACGCGCAAGAUUAGAUAGUUGGCGGGGUAACGGCCCACCAAGUCAAUGAUCUUUAGGGGGCCUGAGAGGGUGAUCCCCCACACUGGUACUGAGACACGGACCAGACUCCUACGGGAGGCAGCAGUGAGGAAUAUUGGACAAUGGGUGAGAGCCUGAUCCAGCCAUCCCGCGUGAAGGACGACGGCCCUAUGGGUUGUAAACUUCUUUUGUAUAGGGAUAAACCCUACCCUCGUGAGGGUAGCUGAAGGGUACUAUACGAAUAAGCACCGGCUAACUCCGUGCCAGCAGCCGCGGUAAUACGGAGGGUGCAAGCGUUAUCCGGAUUUAUUGGGUUUAAAGGGUCCGUAGGCGGACUCGUAAGUCAGUGGUGAAAUCUCAUAGCUUAACUAUGAAACUGCCAUUGAUACUGCGGGUCUUGAGUAAGGUAGAGGUAGCUGGAAUAAGUAGUGUAGCGGUGAAAUGCAUAGAUAUUACUUAGAACACCAAUUGCGAAGGCAGGUUACCAUGUCUUAACUGACGCUGAUGGACGAAAGCGUGGGGAGCGAAC